This 240-nucleotide ribosomal RNA is filed under the name uncultured bacterium. RNAcentral's name for it is "partial 16S ribosomal RNA". It matches the Rfam family "Bacterial small subunit ribosomal RNA", at positions 8 to 244 of the family's 1533-position model. The record is from RNAcentral.
AGCGUUUGAUCAUGGCUCAGGAUGAACGCUAGCGGCAGGCCUAACACAUGCAAGUCGAGGGGCAGCACGGUGUAGCAAUACACUGGUGGCGACCGGCGCACGGGUGCGUAACGCGUAUGCAACCUACCCAUAACAGGGGGAUAACACUGAGAAAUUGGUACUAAUACCCCAUAACAUCAGGACCGGCAUCGGUUCUGGUUGAAAACUCCGGUGGUUAUGGAUGGGCAUGCGUUGUAUUAG